UUUUUCAAAGAUACCACUUCAGCCCUGGUUUUCUUUUUAGUAGCUGAAGUUCUACUAAGCUCCCAUAUGCAGCAGGAGUUGUCUCUUCCCUCAGUCCCUUGAACAAAGAGUCAGGAGAGUUCAGAUGAAGGAAAACGCCUACACCACCACCGACCCACUGGAAUCUAGGCUGCCAACAUUCUAUUAUGCUGCGGGCAGGAUGUACAGGGCCCUGCCCCCACACCCCAGACCGACAGGAGGAAAAUCUCUGCUGUCAGCAUGUGGUUUCCUGACCUCUGGGUACCUCAGCAUGUCCACAUGUAAGAUGGAAAAUACAAGCAGCUCCCCCCUCACCGUGAGGAUGAAAUGAGCUAAUUCCCAUGAACUCUUCUGAACAGAGCCUGGUAUUCUUAAUUAUUGAUGAGUGCCUGGCAAUGCCCCCUCAAAUAUUCCCUUUGCUUUUUAAAAACUGAAAUGGAAAUUAGCAGCUUUGAUGUGAAACUGACUGUGUGAAAUAGAAGUUUCUCUUCUGUCAGGAUCCUUUAUAGCUGGGGCAGCAGACUCGUUCUGCAAAGGGCCAGACAGUAAGUGACUUGGGCUUUGUUGGCCCUGAGGACAACCUUUUUAGAACUGUCAACUCAAAUGCAAAACCAGUUGUGGACAAAAUGUAAACAAAAUGUGCAUGGUCGGGUUCCAAUAAAACUUUAUAUGAGCACUGA
Mustela erminea (ermine) is the source of this 698-nucleotide long non-coding RNA. RefSeq lists it as uncharacterized. NCBI's taxonomy places the organism in Eukaryota, Metazoa, Chordata, Mammalia, Carnivora, Mustelidae. The transcript is spliced from 2 exons. The record is from RefSeq and is a predicted model, not a curated record.